GGAGUUAGCCGGUGCUUCUUCUGUGAGUGAUGUCCUUCCUGCCGGCUAUUAACCCGCAGGCCUUCUUCCUCACUGAAAGUGCUUUACAACCCGAAGGCCUUCUUCACACACGCGGCAUGGCUGGAUCAGGGUUGCCCCCAUUGUCCAAUAUUCCCCACUGCUGCCUCCCGUAGGAGUCUGGGCCGUGUCUCAGUCCCAGUGUGGCUGAUCAUCCUCUCAGACCAGCUACGGAUCGUCGCCUUGGUGAGCCGUUACCUCACCAACCAGCUAAUCCGACAUAGGCUCAUCCGAUAGCGCGAGGCCCGAAGGUCCCCCGCUUUCCCCCGUAGGGCGUAUGCGGUAUUAGCCUGGGUUUCCCCAGGUUAUCCCCCACUACCGGGCAGAUUCCUAUGCAUUACUCACCCGUCCGCCGCUCGCCACCAGGGAGCAAGCUCCCCGUGCUGCCGCUCGACUUGCAUGUGUUAGGCCUGCCGCCAGCGUUCAAUCUGAGCCAUGAUCAAACUCGA
This 506-nucleotide ribosomal RNA is filed under the name uncultured bacterium. RNAcentral describes it as "partial 16S ribosomal RNA". The record is from RNAcentral.